This is a long non-coding RNA of Lycium barbarum (goji berry), 7736 nucleotides long. RefSeq lists it as uncharacterized. NCBI's taxonomy places the organism in Eukaryota, Viridiplantae, Streptophyta, Magnoliopsida, Solanales, Solanaceae. The transcript has 3 exons. The record is from RefSeq and is a predicted model, not a curated record.
CCCCAAAAAAAGACAAGUAGUACGGGAAAAUCUUACCAGCAACAUGAAGAUUCCACCAGAAUAUAAUCAAAACAAUGAGUUGAGAAUGAGGAAUGGAGAAGGCGAGAGAACAGUGGAAAUCAGCAGCGUGAAGUUAAAGUCUUGUGGGACUGCUAAGAAAAGGAAUUGAAGCCAGUUGUCCCAAAAGUUAGUACAAGUGUAACAAAAGAACAGAUGAAGAAACAAAAUGCAUACAACAUGAAAACCAAAAUACAACCAAGUUACAAAACAAAAUGUAGAGAGAGAGUGUCCCCUUCUCUCUAAAAAUAUCAGUAUUGGCCACUAUUUUACCAAUAACUCCUCCAUUUGAGGUACGAUGACUACGCCGGCGGGUCUUCCUUCGGCAGUGGGAGUCGCUCCUGACUUACGCACACAGCCGAAUCAAUCUACUCCAUCAUCUACUUCUAACCAAAACUCUUAUGCUCUGUUGGUGGCACAAAAAUCAACUGCUCCUCGAGUCUCUGUUAAGACCACUACAUUCAAAGGCAAACCUGCGACCUUUUUUAAAGCUACCGAUUACUAUGGUGUAAUGGCGGAUAAAUGAAAACUCACCUUGGUGGGUAAAUUUUCAUCUGGCAAACCUAAAUUGGAGAAAAUACGAUCAGAUUCCAAGGCUCAAUUCCUAGUUAAACAGGUAAAAAUUGGGCUUUUUUAUUAUAGACAUGUUUUUAUUGAUUUUACUUACAAGGAGGAUUGUACCAAUGUCUAUUUCAAACGUAUGAUGAAUAUCAGAGGGUUUCUUAUGCGUAUAUUCAAAUGGACUCCGGACUUUAAACCGGAAGAAGAAACCUGCUAGCCCCAAUUUGGGCACUAUUACCUCAACUCCUGUGGCAUUUGCAUGAAUGGUGGUAUGUGGAAAAUAUUCUAAGUACGGUAGGAACACCAUUGCAAAUUGAUCAAGCUACUACCAACCGAACUAGACCUCACCUGGAUAAAGUAAGGAUCGAAGUGGUUUUGAGACAACCUCUACCAAAUUCAGUUUGGGUAGGCACUUUAGAUGAAGAAGGAAAUCCUCUUGGGGUUUAUGAUCAACCUAUAGAGUAUGAGGGUAUCCCAGGUUAUUGCUUACAAUGUAAACAUCAAGGGCACUCCAUUCAAGAAUGUGUUCAUCAUGAGAAAAAUAAGGGAAAGGGAAAAGAGAAGGUUCAAGAACUAUCCAACUCUCAGGAAGAUCAACAACAAACUCAAAAGAAUCAGAACCAAAAGCUCCCAAAACUCAAGAAGUCCAACAGCAGAACCAGAAAAAUAACCAUCCUACCCAAGGAAAAAAUGGGGAGGAUAGAGGUAACAAAAAAUAUCAACACAACAACAAUGUGGCUGAGCAAGUUUUCAAUCGUAUCAAGGAUAAUAAUAAGACUGCAACUACUGAUCCUAUUGUCAAGGCUACUCCUAAUGCUGCUAUUGAGUCCACUAUUGUUACUACUAAGGAAAAAAAUGUUGUUCUUGUAAAAGGUUUCACUGAAGUCGCCCAUAAGGAAUCCUCUGUUGCUGCUACUACUCGUGCUACCGAGAAGGAAUUAACUAAGGAGAUCUCUAUAUCCAAUGUGAGCAAUACAUCAAGUAGAAAGUGCCAAUCCUGAAGAACCAAGAUUUGAGGAGGUCUCAAAAAAAAAGGAAUUUGUAGAAAGAUUUUACCUGGUGACAAUUUGAAAGGUGGGGUCACUACUAUCGAUCUGGAUAAUGCUUUUAACUCUCUUAGGAAUGACCAUCUUGAGGAUUCUAUUGAUGACCCCGGAGACCUUGAUACGAGUAAUGACAAGAAGCAUGACAAUGAUACUUUUUCUGAUAAGGAAGUGGAGCAUCAGAACCUGAAUUACUCUAAAUCUGAUGAUGAAAGUUCUAGGAGAUCCAUUCAUGAAUAUUCUACAAGAGGAACUGGUCAUCAAGAAGCAAAUAAAAAAAAAUGUCAACCCAGAAUACAGGGCAGGUAACUUAUCUCCAAGAGGUACCAAUAUUCAUGAAUUGAUGAGCAAAAACUUUUCUCCAAGAAAAACUAUAGCUCAAAAGCUCAACAAAAAACUACUCCCUAAUGUUUCCCAUGAUUAGUAUGAUCUCUUGGAAUUUAGGAGUGUAACGACUAUGGAUGCUUUUGAAAGCUAAAGCCUCUUAAAAGUAAAUAUAAUAUUUAUUUAACUAUGCUCCAAGAACCUAUCCUACAAGACUUUUCAGGGCUGGAUACUAUUGAGAAAUAUAGGGUAAUGUUGGGGAUGGAUAAUUGUUAUGGAAAUAGUAAAACAAAAUAUGGUUGUAUUGGGAUGAUUGCUAUGAUAUUUCCAUUAUUUCAACCAGUGAACAAUAGGUAACCAUUAGUAUCAAGGGACUAGCUGGUUCUAAUUUGACUUUCCUCACCAUUGUUUAUGCUAAAUGUGAUGCUCAGCUAAGAAAAGAUCUUUGGGUUUCCUUUGAAAAUCAAUCAACAAUAGUUGGCCAUACAUAGGGUGUUAUAGGGGACUUUAAUGUGAUCACUAGUGCAGAAGAAAAGAAGGGAGGGAGACCCUUCAGUACCUUGAAAAGUGUAGAUUUUAUUAAAUGUAUAGAAGAUUCUGGGUUACAAGAUGCAGGCUUUCAUGGACAACCCUUCACUUGGUGUGAUAACAGAGGUUCAAAAGCCAUCUGGAAGAGAUUGGAUAGGCUCCUGAUUAAUGCUGAAUGGUUUUCUAGUUUUGAUGUGUCUAUAAUCAAUCAUUUGGCUAGAACAGGGUCUGACCAUGCUCUUUUAUUGGUCAAUUUGGCUCAAGAAAUUUAUACUCCUAUUAAAUUUUUCAGAUUCUUAAUUUAUGGGUAGACCAUCCUGAUUUCCUUAAUACUGUUCAACAAUCUUGGGAGGACAAUAUCAAUGGAAACCCUUUAUGGAUCCUCCACCAGAGGUGAAAAGGACUUGCAAGAACUUGAGUUCUUGGUCUAGAGCAACUUUUGGAGAUAUUUCUGAAGAAGUGGACAAACUGGAGGCUAAGGUCUCAUAAUUAGAACAACAAUUCAUUCAAGACAGCUCUACUACCAAUUGAACCCUGUUAAAUCAGGCCAAUGCAACUUAUAUACAGGUCCUGAAAAGGAAGGAGGAUUUUCUGAGACAAAAACCUAGAAUUAAAUGGCUUACUGAAGGUGACUCCAAUUCUGCAUACUUUCAAAGCACUAUCAAGAACAGAAGAAGGAGGCUCAACAUUCAACAAAUCAAGGAUGAUAAUGGUAAUUGGGUGAUAGGCAGACAAGAAAUUGCUAAUGCAGUUGUCAGUUUCUUUCAAAAGUUAUGUUGCUCUCCUCCAAAUGAAGUUGAUUUUGAUAUACUGGAUUGUCUUCCUUCCUUGGUCACUGAGGAUGAUAAUGAGGGUCUUAUUUCUAUGCCUGACUCACAAGAAAUCAAAGAUGCGGUUAUGUCAAUUGAUCCACAUAGUGCUCCAGGACCAGAUGGUCUCAAUGGUAUAUUUUUCCAAUCUAGCUACCUGGAGUAUUAUUUCUUUUGAUUUAACUAAUGUUAUUCAAAGUUUAUUCAGGGGUGCUCAGCUUCCUAAAUUCUAUACCGAUACUUGUUAGGUAGUGUUACCAAAAGUGGAGCAUCCUCAACAUUUCUCUGAAUUCAAGCCUAUCAGCUUAUGUAAUGUCACUAGCAAGGUUAUCUCUAAAAUUCUCAAUAAUAGACUCUCUACUUUGCUUCCUAAAAUCAUAUCUACUAAUCAAAGUGGCUUUGUUAAAGGUAGAGUGAUCUCAGAGAAUAUUCUCUUGGCCCAAGAGAUUAUUAAUGACAUGAAUAAACCCAACAUAGGGGGUAAUCUUGUUAUUAAACUUGAUAUGGUCUCUUGGCCCUAUUUAUUCAAAGUCUUGAGAAAAUUUGGCUUUUCAGAAUGAUGGAUAGAAAUUAUAUAUAGGUUUAUUUCCAACAAUUGGUACUCAAUUGUUAUCAAUGGUGGUAGGUAUGGUUUCUUUAAAUCUAAAAAUGGUCUUAGACAAGGGGACCCUAUAUCCCCAUCUCUUUUUGAUCUAAGUGUUGAACUCCUGUCUAUUUUGCUUAAUAAUUUAAAUAAUGACUAGGGGUUUAGGAAUUUCUAUAUGAAUAAGAGGGGCCCUAUUAUCAAUCACUUGUGUUUCGAUGAUGAUGUUAUUCUUUUUUCAAGUGGAAAUAGGAAAUCCCUUAAGAGAAUUAUGAGGACUUUGAAAACUUAUGAAGAUGUUUCUGGCCAAUUGGUUAAUAAGCACAAAAGCUCCGUUAUUCUUCAUGAUAAGGCUUGUGCUAGGAGAAUUGACAGAGUUAAGAGAAUUAGUACCAUGAAACAAGAAUUUUUUCCUAUAAAUUAUCUUGGCUGCCCUUUGUAUUUGGGAAGAAAAAGAAUUUCUACUUUCUCAGAUAUGGUUCAAAAAAUCCUUAACAAAAUUAGGUGCUGGUCUUUUUAAUUUUUAUCUGUUGGUGGUAAAAGUGUUCUUAUUAAACAUGUUUUACAAGCUAUGCCUUCCCACCUAUUAGUAGUUAUGCAACCCCCUAAAACUGUUUUUGAAAUUAUUGACAAUGCUUUUAAUAGAUUUUUGUGGAGUGGUUCAGAUGGUAACAAGAAGCUCUAUUGGUCCUCUUGGGAUAAUCUGUCCUAUCCCAUCAAUGACGGAGGUGCUAAUUUUAGAAAACUUGCUGAUAUCAACAAGGCUUUCACCACCAAACAUUGGUGGAAGUUUAGAACUAAAAGAUCUUUGUGGUCCCUGUUUUUAAACACUAAAUACUGCUCCAGAAUUCAUCCGGUAACUAACAAAUGGAGGAAUGGCCAAUCCCAUAAUUGGAAGGCUAUGUGCUCUAUUAAAGAGUUAGUGGAGAAUAACUUGGGAUGGAUUAUUGAAAAAGGGGAGGUGUCCUUUUGGUAUGACAAUUGGACAGAUUUUGGCCCCCUUUACAAAUUUCUUGAUCCAAAUUCUAAGCCUAGUAAGUUGAGAAUCACUAAUGCCUACCAGAAUGGCCACUGGAAUUGGACAGCUUGUGGUUAUGUUGUCUCUGAUUUUAUUAAAGCUCAUAUUGAGAGGAUGCAGGUGGUCCUUUAUGAUAAACAUGAUUUGCCUAUAUGGAAAAUUACCUCUUCUGGAAAAUUCAAUAUUGAAAGUGCUUGAAAUUUUCUGAGGAAUUCCAUAAAUGAAAGCAACAUUGUUAAUGCCUUAUGUCAUAAAGCUAUCCCUUUUAAAAUGUCCUUCAUGCUUGGAGGGUGUUUCACAGAAAAAUACCUUCUAAUGAUAUUAUCAUUUCAAGGUUUAAGCUCCCUGCUUCUCCCAAUUGCACUUGUUGUAGGGUGUCCCAACUAGAAAAUAUAGAUCAUAUUUUUUUCCAAAGUUAUGCUGCCUCUUCUGCUUGGAAACACUUUGUUAACUCUUUUGGCAUUAGAGGCCCUAUGGUGUCUAUUCCAACUGUGUUUGAUAGCUAGAGGAAUACCAAGGCACUUAACCCCAUUAUAUACUUUAUCCUCAUUAUUUCCCCUAUUAUUAUUAUCUAGGAACUUUGGAAGGUGAGGUGCAAUAGAAAAUAUGGUAAUCAGAGACCAUACCUUCCAAAAAUCAUAUAUCAAAUUUCUCAAACAAUUUUGCUUAUAGUCAAAAUCCAUUUUCCAAUGUUUAAAAAUGAUCUUUCUUGGGAUGAGAUUUUGAGUUUGAAUGAUAAACACAUGAGGAUUAAAGUGUGUAAAAGUGUUUUAUGGUGCAAGCCUUCUGCCAAUCACUUUAAACUCAACAGUGAUGGUAGUUUUAGAAAUGGAAUUUGUGGAGGAGGAGGCAUCAUUAGAGAUUGGGAAGGUAAAAUGGUCAUGGUAUUUUCUGUUCAUCUGGGAAGAGGAUCUGCUAACAUAGCUGAAGCCAAAGCUAUGUUAUUUGGCAUCCAGUGGUGUAUUCUCAAUAACAUAACUUCCUUGGAACUGGAAACAGACUCUACGGUCCUAUUUUCAAGCAUAAAGGUUGUCUUCAAGGUUCCCUGGCAACUUAAUUCAAUCGUCAAGAAAUGUAGGGAUCUUCUCGAUAACAUUAAUCGGUCUAUUCAUCACUAUUUCAAGGAGGUCAAUCAGGUCGCAGAUAAACUAUCCUCCUUCACUAUGUUACACAGAAUGAGGCAAUCUAUUUGUCCUAUGAAGAGCUCCCAAACUAGGUCAAAGAAAGCAUGAAUAUGGAUACUUGGAAGAUUCCUAAUUUUCGAAUUAGGACUAAAAAACAUCAUGAAAUCGUCUAUGGGGAUGUUGCAUAGUCUCUACAUCCAGGUGCUAAGUUUUUCUAAGCUGUAUAUGAGUAAAGAGAGAAUCCCUCUCAUUUAUCUCUUACUGCUUUCUCUUUCAGUCUUUAGGUUGUUUAGAAGUAGGUUUAACUUUGUAAAGAUGUGGGUUUGUCCACAAUCUUCUAUUUUUGCUAAGAGGUUAGGCUUCAGAUACCUCUUUUGUGUAUUUGACUUUGAUAAAUAUACAUGGUAGGGGUCUGCCUAACCCCCCACCAGGAACGUGGCUUGAUUAAAAAAAAUACAACAAAGUUAAACAUAAUAUUAACUAUCUCAUAACACGCGUAUUUUAAUUUGCUAAUGCAUCGAAUUUGUAUAUGUAAAUCUAAAGGCAUGCCUGUACAAUUUGAAGAUUGAUCACAAUGUCGCCACUGGAUUCUGACUUUCAGCCAAAUCGGAGCUCUAAAACACUAGAGCCAUACCCACCGAGCAACAACCGGUUCAGUUUUUGAAACUAAGUGGAUGAAACCUCCGAAAUCGAUAAAAACCACAAAUUGGUUUUCCUUCUCAGCAACCUCCAUUAACGCCAAUAGUUUUCUCCUUCAAUUUCUAAAAUGAAAACCUCAGAUAUUUGUUUAUCAACGAAUCAAAUUAAGAUAUACUGAAAUAUAUUAGGGUUUUUAGUGGAGAGUGUAAAAGCUUUGAGUGGAAAAUGGAGUGUUUAAAGAGCCGAUAAUAAUAUUCUUCUUCUUUAUAUAUAUAUAUAAAGGUAUUCUGCUCUGGAAUUUCACUCAGUUCCGCAUGCACAUCAUAAGAACUAAGUUUCAAAUUGAACGCUUGCCCACUCUUUCCAAAUUAUUUUGAGAAUGUUCUAUAAAAAUAAUAGUAUAACACAAUUCUAUUACUUACUUGGCAUGGAAUUCACAAUUUCCAAGUCCAAUUAGUACAUCUAUUCCGAAUCGGAAAAGCUUAAUUUUAUAAUUCUAAGAAGCUCUCAAUUAUCUUCAGGAUGGCGCGGGACAUAAACAUCUGCAACAAACAGGAAAUUAACAACCAAUCCCAAAUCUGCAAGACUGCAAGAAGCAAAUGGAAUAUGUUGGGUUAAAGAGCAUUUUAAUAUUGCAAAAUAUUAUUGUUAAAAUGCUUAUUACUCCUACGCAUUGGUGACCAUAAAAGUGGCUGAAGUGGAUUCAUUUCUUACGUUGAGCAUGGUUGAAUGUGGCCAUUAUUUUUCCUUGUAACUCCUCUCACGUUAAUGGCCAUUAGAGCAAGAUAAUGACAAUUAUUUAUUUUGUAACAGUUGUAACCGCUAACCUUUUGCUCACCCAUAUUCUUCAUAGAGUAAUUUUUUAUAUUGAAGGAAGGUGUUCUGGUGGAGUUUUGGACUUUUCAACUAGUCCGAAGUUGUAUCAUGAAGGGGACAAGUCAGAGUUAUAUUGCUGGACCGGUGAAGAUUAUGUCGCAUUUGAAAAAUCACGGAUAUCAAGAAAAGAGAAGUCAACAUCAUUUCGCUUCGACGUCACUAGAUCUCUUUAAG